UGGGGGAGGCGGAAUCCUGGGCUGUGUCCCGGCGCCCUGUGCUCCGGAGCCUGCGCUGUUGGAUUCGCGCUCCAGCCCCGCAGCCCCCU
This 89-nucleotide microRNA precursor is filed under the name Canis lupus dingo (dingo). RNAcentral describes it as "mir-8799 microRNA precursor family". It matches the Rfam family "mir-8799 microRNA precursor family". The record is from Rfam by way of RNAcentral. Lineage: Eukaryota; Metazoa; Chordata; Mammalia; Carnivora; Canidae.